Molecule: small nucleolar RNA, 98 nt
Filed under: Macleaya cordata
Lineage: Eukaryota; Viridiplantae; Streptophyta; Magnoliopsida; Ranunculales; Papaveraceae
Description: Small nucleolar RNA Z103
Rfam family: Small nucleolar RNA Z103
About the family: This family consists of several snoRNA Z103 sequences which are members of the C/D class of snoRNA which contain the C (UGAUGA) and D (CUGA) box motifs.
Source: Rfam by way of RNAcentral
AUGGAGGUGAUGAUCCUUUCCCCAAAUGAUCGACUUUGAUCAUACUGUGUGUUUUAUUUUCAAGAAAACCAGAUUCACAAUACCCAAUACUGGACCAU